AUUGAACGCUGGCGGCAUGCCUUACACAUGCAAGUCGAACGGCAGCGGACCUUCGGGUGCCGGCGAGUGGCGAACGGGUGAGUAAUAUAUCGGAACGUACCUUUCAGUGGGGGAUAACGUAGCGAAAGUUACGCUAAUACCGCAUAUUCUGUGAGCAGGAAAGCAGGGGAUCGCAAGACCUUGCGCUGAUUGAGCGGCCGAUAUCAGAUUAGCUAGUUGGUGAGGUAAAGGCUCACCAAGGCGACGAUCUGUAGCGGGUCUGAGAGGAUGAUCCGCCACACUGGAACUGAGACACGGUCCAGACUCCUACGGGAGGCAGCAGUGGGGAAUUUUGGACAAUGGGCGCAAGCCUGAUCCAGCCAUGCCGCGUGAGUGAAGAAGGCCUCGGUUGUAAGUACUCUUUCGGUCCGGGU
This 413-nucleotide ribosomal RNA is filed under the name uncultured bacterium. RNAcentral's name for it is "bacterial SSU rRNA". It matches the Rfam family "Bacterial small subunit ribosomal RNA", at positions 30 to 446 of the family's 1533-position model. The record is from RNAcentral.